Molecule: long non-coding RNA, 2268 nt
Organism: Bos taurus (domestic cattle)
Lineage: Eukaryota; Metazoa; Chordata; Mammalia; Artiodactyla; Bovidae
Source: Ensembl
GAGGAGCCGCCCUGGAUGGACAGAGGGACGGAGGGACGAGCAUCCAGUCGGUUGUGUCCGGCUGCCCGCAGCAGUCUCCGACACCUGCUGCGGCCCGCCCGCUGCCCGUCUGCCUGGCAUCCCUCGAUCCCGUGAAUUAAACAGAGCGGUUCGGAGAGGGCCAAGGAUACGUCUGAGGUCACCAGUGGGAAGCAGCAGCUUGGGUCCUUGAACCUGAAUCCUGACUUGAGGUCCAGCACCCAGCACCAGGCACCCCGGGACCUGGAGCAAUAUCACAGCAGGGACUGUGUCUUCGGGCUGCAACCCACCCACCCCUUGAGAGGCCUGGAGGCUUGGGGCGGGGGAUCCCAACAGCCCUGGUCCCUUGUCUGGAAUCACAGAAGCUGGAACCCUGGGGAGAUUGUGCUCAGAUGCUCCAUUCAACAAUUUGUCCAUUUCACGCUGUCCCAGCAUUUAUCGUGACAUGAAACAGAGCAAAGUGACUGCUCAUGGAGCAUGCACACAGCACCAGCAGCGUGCCCUCAGAUGUAGCCUCAGGGCUGGGCUGGGGCCUUUGGGUCAUGGCGAGACCGGAAAAAUCAGUCGACUUGGUGAUGGAUGGGGCGUGACGGAGGCCCCCAGGUUUGCCCUCCAGAAACCACAGUCCAGGAGGAGAGACAAAUCAGUAAAGAAUCAGCGUGCUGGAGACAGGCGGCCUGGGGUCUCAUCUAGGCUGGAAGGUUGGGGAAGGAAGGCUUCCUGGAGAAGGUGACUGUGCCCGGAGCCUCAGCAGAUGAAUAUAAGUUCACCAGGCAAAGAAAUGAAGGGAGAAGGCGGGAAAGGAGCUGGCAUUGGGGGUGAAUCUGGGAAGAAGGAAUCUGAGGCUCAGACAGGUGAGGUGACUUGCCUGAGGCUCCUUGGCCGGUGAGUGGUGGACAGAACUGCAUUGGAGACCAAAGCCCAGCAGUGGACAUCAGAACCCAGCUUGUGACCACUAAACUGGUGAUGGAGGGGGUCCAGGUUCGAUCCCUGGUCAAGGAAGCAGAUGCUAUAUGCUACAACUAAAGAUCCCGCGUGCUGCAAUGAAGAUCAAAGGUCUUGUGUGUGGCAACUAAGACUCAGUGCAGUCACAUAAUAAAUAUUUAAAAAGAAGAAAUAUACAGGGAGAAAGAGAAAUGGUUGCAAAAAUCUAAACAUUUGCUAAGAGGGUCUGUGGUAAAGACUAUGGACUUCCCUCAUAGCUCAGUUGGUAAAGAAUCUGCGGGGAGUGCAGGAGACCCGUGUUCGAUUCCUGGAUCAGGAAGAUCCCCUGGAGAAGGAAAUGGCAACCCACUCCAGUAUUCUUGCCUGGAGAAUGCCAUGGACAGAGGAGCCUGGCAGGCUACAGUCCAUGGGGUUACAUGAGUCGGACACGAUUUAGUGACUAAACCACCACCACCGUCUGUGGUAAAGAACCCACCUGCCAAUGCAGGAGAUGCAAGAGACAUGGGUUCAAUCCCUGGGUUGGGAAGAUCCCCUGGAGGAGGGCAUGGCAACCCACCCCAAUAUUCUUGCCUGGAGAAUCCCAUGGAUGGAGGAGCCUAGCUGGUCACAGUAUAUAGAGUCGAAGAAAGUCAGACACGACUGACCACGCACACACCAAGAGAGGACCCCGAGCCACCAGGCAACCACAGGCCACCUGUGGGCACUGCCAGGUGGCUGACCCCAGGACCCGCUGAAUGCCUGUCACUGCUGAAUGCCUUGGGACAUUCAGUGCAGGAGACCCAUGUUCAAUUCCUGGGUUGGGAAGAGGGGGAGGCUGCAUUUGUAGGACAUUUUGUUAAAGCAAACUGGGUAUAAAUAAGGAUUUAUGCCCACGGAUGUCUGUCGCAACUGGCCACCACCUCAGUGUUCAGCAGUAUUGGGGCUUGUUGAAAUGAAUUAUAGCACUUCCUAUGACAGAAUAUGAUGCAGCCAGUAAAUAUGACACUUAGCAAAAAAUUGUAAUUACAUAGGAAACGCUUUUGGUGUAACAUAAAAUCAGGAUAUAAAACGAUAUGUGCAUGUAUGUUAUGUCAAUAAAAAGGAAAAAGAAAAAACUAAAUGCUGUGAGCUCAACUUCAUUUAAAGACAUAUAAGGAAAAAGUGGAAAGAAAACGCCCCCAAAUUCUAACCUUAUUUAUAUCUGGCUGGUGAUUUUUAAAUUUUUAGUACUUGUUCUUUAUUGUAUUUCCAAAUUUCUACACUAAAUACUUUCAAGUUUUAAAGUUAUUUGAAAUAAAAGUGAAAACUGUAUCCUGUAUUUAAGAG